Molecule: long non-coding RNA, 1940 nt
Organism: Trifolium pratense (red clover)
Lineage: Eukaryota; Viridiplantae; Streptophyta; Magnoliopsida; Fabales; Fabaceae
Exons: 4
Source: RefSeq, a predicted model, not a curated record
GAUUGAUAGAAUGAAAGAGUAAAAAAAAUACAACAAAAAAACACAAUAUCAGUUCCUCUCUCUCGUUUACAGACCCAAGGGGUCUAUUUGUAAAUUUUUUUAACAAAAUAAUUCAGUUUUUAUUUUCUUUCUCUCUCUUUACCAAAGAAGAUUUGAGAAGCUAUAUCUCAUCCUCUCAACAAACCUAGCCGCCGCCGCUACCACCACCACAACUCUCACAAUCUCGUCUAUUUCUUUUCAACCUUCACCAUCUUUCUUUUCUCCUUCUCAUAUAUUUCCCGUCAAGUUUAGUUUUAGAUCGGAGAUAUUUUGAAAUUUCUCAACCGUCAUCUUCAUGGUUAGAUCUAGAUCACGAAAGACUGUCUUUUAAAAAACCAACACCAUAUAAAUACUAUACUCCUUCUCCUCUACAAAACCCACAAAGAAAAAAAUCAAGAUUGGAACACCUUCGCCAGUGACAGCCGCGCCGGAAAACACAACCACCACACCGGAAAAUCGCAAAAUGAUUGAGAUUUUGAAAUAUGGCUUCGUGUUUUCAGUGUGGGUCGCGGAAAAGAAACUCAAUGGUGAUGAUUUACCAGCGAUGUAGUGAAAAAUGAAAUCAAGUUAAAAGUUUGUUUUCAGAGGGAGAUGCAAACAGAUCAACUAUAACAAUGUGCAAGAGCUACUUCAACAAGCUUUGAUAAGAAGGAGGAACAACCUUUCACGGGACACUUGCAUUUUAUUUUUGUGUAGAUAUUUUAGUGAUAAUAUUUGUAAAGCCCAGCUUAUUUCAAACUACAAUUUAAAUAUUAAUUUAUUUUUUUUGAAUUAUAUCUUGAAUAUUACGAUAAAAUCAAUUACAUAAUUUUACAUAUUUUAUUUUAUUUUCAAUUUAAUUUAAUUUUUUCAUUUUCAAUUAAAAUAUUUUAUUUUAAUUUUGCUGAAAAUAGCUAUUUUUAUUUUUUUUAAAUAUUAAAUACAGUUCCUACGAAAAUUUCGUAGGUAAUGUGCUGACACAUGCUGACUAAAGUGGCAGCUGACACAAAUACGUUUCCUACGAAAAUUUCGUAGGUAAUGUACUGACUCAUGCUGACCACUUACACAAAUGCGUUUCCUACAAAGUUCGUCGGAAAUGUUGUAGGAAUAGUUAGGUUUUUGCCUACAAAGCUCUUGGUAGGAAAUGUCGUCGGAAAUGUUACAUUUCCUACGAAAAUGGGCACUAUUCCCACGAAAUUUUUUGUAGGUAAUGCAGAGGAUUCUUGUAGUGUUAAUGGUUAAGCAUUGAUUUGUUGCUUCCUCCGAGUAGUCCUUGAGUUGUGGUUUCUACUUGAUGGUUAAACUUUUGCCCUUAGUUGGCUUUGAUGAGUUGUGUUUCUUCCUUACGGUGGUUAAGCACUACUAGUUGUUAUUGAGUUGUUGUUUUAGCCGAUGUAUUCCGGCAAAUCUCAUUAUAUUUUCUUUUGAUUUGAUGUACUUUUGUAUUGCUUAUCCCAAGCUAGAAGUGUUGUGAACACCUUCUAGCUUGCGGGAGGGUGUUAAAGAUAUAGUUAGUUAGUAAUUAGGAGAAUUAGUUAGUAGUUUCUUGAUACCUAUAUAUAGGCUUUGAUGUAAUCUUUUACACUCACUUUUCUCAUUUUGUAAUAUUUUUCCUUCAUCAAUAUUAUACACUUUUGAGCUAUUUUCUCUCUUCUCCCAUGGAUGCCAAGUUUCUUAACAUAUGUUUGAUGCUCUGAUAGUUUCUUCAUUCAGGGGCCACCUAAUCUUGUCCGUGAUGCUAGCUGUUGGCAGCAUGAGCAUGAGUGGCGGCAAGAUAUUGCAGUUGCUACGAAGUGGCUAUCAGGAGUGUCUCCGAAAAAAAAAAGAGUAUAGGUGGCUAUCAUCCAAACGAGCUCCUACUCCUACAAAUCCGAAGCUUACAUUUGAGGAAAAGUUUCUUUCACAGCAAUCUCAAACUUCAG